AGGAGAGCGUUCUAAGGGCGUUGAAGGUCGAUCGUGAGGACGGCUGGAGCGCUUAGAAGUGAGAAUGCCGGUAUGAGUAGCGAAAGACAGGUGAGAAUCCUGUCCACCGUAUGACUAAGGUUUCCUGGGGAAGGCUCGUCCGCCCAGGGUUAGUCGGGACCUAAGCCGAGGCCGAUAGGCGUAGGCGAUGGACAACAGGUUGAUAUUCCUGUACCAGUUGUUUUUGUUUGAGCAAUGGAGGGACGCAGUAGGCUAAGGAAUGCAUGCGAUUGGAAGUGCAUGUCCAAGCAAUGAGUCUUGAG
RNAcentral lists this ribosomal RNA (302 nucleotides) under Enterococcus faecalis. Its description in RNAcentral is "partial 23S ribosomal RNA". It matches the Rfam family "Bacterial large subunit ribosomal RNA", at positions 1230 to 1530 of the family's 2925-position model. The record is from RNAcentral. Lineage: Bacteria; Bacillati; Bacillota; Bacilli; Lactobacillales; Enterococcaceae.